Pocillopora verrucosa is the source of this 622-nucleotide non-coding RNA. The record is from RefSeq and is a predicted model, not a curated record. NCBI's taxonomy places the organism in Eukaryota, Metazoa, Cnidaria, Anthozoa, Scleractinia, Pocilloporidae.
AAGAAUGGCGGAUAAAGCAAGACUAAAGUGCAUCUGAAAUAAUGAGCUCAAACGGAAAAGAUUAGAGAAGAAUCUCGGGCUUGGCGAAGCCUCUUGUGGAAUGUAAAACAGAGGCCCUUCUUUAUAGAAGAUGUGUGUCCCAGACAGACAACAUUACCAACCAUACCUGUAAUAAGGAGUUUCAAGCACUUAAAGCCUGUAUAAGACAAGCAGCAAAGAAAAUUUAAGUGUAGAGACUUGAAAAGAGAGAACAACUGCACCUGUUGCUGCAAAGUUCAGGAACAGAAGAUGUCACAGGGAACCCACUCACUUUUUGUCUGGGAUAAAAAAUGUUGUAAGGAGACAUUUAGGCUUGUGGAAACUUAAAAAGAAUGUUAUGGAAGUCCCUGUGCUGAGUUUGAGUGUCACGAUUUUUAUAGUUUUUAAAUUUGUUUUGUUUUUUUCAGGCACUUGGAAAUCCAACGCCAUUGUAGAAUUGAUGAAUUAAAAGAAAAUUAUGAGUGUAAAGCUUAUUCUAAAAUGGUGACCAUUUUAUGAUUCCAUUUUUAGUCACCCCAGAUAUGGUAACGUCAUUUCCUGUGUACAUUUCCAGCUUUUAAAAAGUGAGAUUUUAUUUUAAAAC